GACGAACGCUGGCGGCGUGCUUAACACAUGCAAGUCGAACGGAAAGGCCCUGCUUUUGUGGGGUGCUCGAGUGGCGAACGGGUGAGUAACACGUGAGUAACCUGCCCUUGACUUUGGGAUAACUUCAGGAAACUGGGGCUAAUACCGGAUAGGAGCUCCUGCUGCAUGGUGGGGGUUGGAAAGUUUCGGCGGUUGGGGAUGGACUCGCGGCUUAUCAGCUUGUUGGUGGGGUAGUGGCUUACCAAGGCUUUGACGGGUAGCCGGCCUGAGAGGGUGACCGGCCACAUUGGGACUGGGAUACGGCCCAGACUCCUACGGGAGGCAGCAGUGGGGAAUAUUGCACAAUGGGCGGAGGCCUGAUGCAGCAACGCCGCGUGCGGGAUGACGGCCUUCGGUUUGUAAACCGCUUUCGCCGGUGACGAAGCGUGAGUGACGGUAAUGGGUAAAGAAGCACCGGCUAACUACGUG
RNAcentral lists this ribosomal RNA (468 nucleotides) under uncultured bacterium. Its description in RNAcentral is "partial 16S ribosomal RNA". It matches the Rfam family "Bacterial small subunit ribosomal RNA", at positions 28 to 507 of the family's 1533-position model. The record is from RNAcentral.